This 768-nucleotide ribosomal RNA is filed under the name Triticum aestivum (bread wheat). RNAcentral describes it as "partial small subunit ribosomal RNA". Lineage: Eukaryota; Viridiplantae; Streptophyta; Magnoliopsida; Poales; Poaceae. The record is from RNAcentral.
CAAGUUGGCGGCCAAAUCAUGUUGCUCUUGGUUGAUUCUGGGAGCACGCACAGUUUCAUCAGCGAAGCUUUUCCCUCUCGCCUGACAGUUCAGACAGAGCAACUGCCCCCAGUUUCAGUUCGAGUGGCCAAUGGGCAACGACUCCGGUGCACUCAAAUUGUGCAUGGGUUAGCGUGGGAAGUGCCUAGACAUACAUUUCACACGGAUCUGCGAGUCCUUCCACUGGAUGCAUAUGAUGGAGUGCUGGGCAUCGAUUGGUUAUCAGCUCACAGCCCCAUGAACUGUCACUAGUAACACAAGACCAUCGAUUUUGAAACUCAGGGCAAGCGCGUACACAUACAAGGAAUGCGCACCACGGACUUACCUCCAAUCUCACAGCUCGAUGCUUAUGAACUGCACAGAAUGGAAGUGGCUAAUGAUAUUUGGACUGCAGCUUUAGUUACCGUGGAAACAGUGGACAAACCUGAACCUGAACCAGUUCCGGCUAAUAUUCAGAAACUCUUAUCUGAAUAUGAGGAUGUGUUCUCUGAACCCAAAACCCUCCCACCCAAGAGGCAGUAUGAUCAUGCUAUCAACCUGGAGCCGGGCACUGCUCCAAUUAACACGAGGCCGUACCGCUAUUCACCAACUCAAAAAGACGAGAUCGAGAAGCAAGUUCAAGAGAUGCUGCAGUCCGGGGUGAUAGCACACAGCCUGAGCCCGUACGCAGCGCCGGUGCUGUUGGUCAAGAAAAAAGAUGGCAGCUGGCGCUUUUGCGUGGAUUUCUGA